AAAAAAUUAUAAAUAAAAAGUAGAUAGUUGAACAUACAUCAUCAACUUCAUAUAUGACAAUAAGAAGUGCUAAAAGGGAAAAUUGGUACAGGAAAGCAGUUUAAUAUCAAGAAUGGCAAAAUAAAGCAAAUACGAGUUGGUUAGCAUUACAUUACUUGAGCUUAGUAUGUCAAAAACGAGUCCUUAAUAAAAGCUUGACAUUCUUCUAUACUACAGUCUACAAGUAUUAUUCAGGGGAUCGAUCUUAAGCAAGCUUUUUCAGGAUUCAACAAGCUUCAAUUUCUAUAUACCAACCUGAUGUUUAAGAGUAUAGCUCUGGUUAAGAUAAUAAAUUUAUUUAAGAGCUUAAGAACGCGUCCAGCUAGCGCACUUCAUUAACGAACCUAUCUUGAUAAGAACUUAUCAUAAUGAAUUUCAUUGUACUUGGUGGAUUUGCAACUCCAUAGGUUGAUUCUUAGGGAGCAACCCCCAAUGCAUGGAAAGAAGAACGUUUCACCUUGCCCCCCACGGGAAUAGCGAAGUGAUAAAGUAAGAGGGUUCUCUACGGAGUAUCAGAGGUUCCUCAACCCAGUCCUAUCAUAAACCUAUUUGGAGAAGCUACAAGGAUGUACUCUUCUUCUACCUUACCCCACAAACAACUAUUCCAUAGUCAAACCACAGAGACCCGAAUCCUUUCUAAUUGAUUCUUUCCUCUAGGUGUACCAUCAAUGCUAGUUCAAAGAUGCUAUCCAGGACAUCCAGUGACCUUCUUUUACCAUGUCUAAACCAUUUAUAUAUGUUUCCCCAAAAUUUACAAUAAGUCUGCACUAUCAAGCCCAAAUCAGAAAUAUGCUCUUUUUUAUUUUUAUUUUUUUUGGGUCUAUUUUUCUUUGAUCAUAUGUAGUUGCCACCUAAACCAAAAACAUUAUAAUGCACCUCAAGAGAGAUUCUUCCUUCAUU
This 939-nucleotide long non-coding RNA is filed under the name Olea europaea subsp. europaea. Lineage: Eukaryota; Viridiplantae; Streptophyta; Magnoliopsida; Lamiales; Oleaceae. The record is from RNAcentral.